Long non-coding RNA from Gordionus sp. m RMFG-2023, 692 nucleotides. RefSeq lists it as uncharacterized. The transcript is spliced from 4 exons. The record is from RefSeq and is a predicted model, not a curated record. NCBI's taxonomy places the organism in Eukaryota, Metazoa, Nematomorpha, Gordioida, Chordodea, Parachordodidae.
UAGUGAAACAAUUUUAGAUUGUAACAGAAGAGUUUAACUUCUUUAAAAAGUUAUAGUGGAGUGGAUGUGAUACUAAUGAGGCAAAAUCUUUAGCUGACCAUUUUGGUAUCACCAAGACUCACAGCAACUUGACUAGUAGCUUCUGGUGGCCAAAUAUGAAAUUGGAUGUGGUUAAUUUUGUAAAAUGUUGUGAUAUUUGCCAGCGUAGCUACACAAGAUUUGACAAAACUAACAAUGAGUUGCAUUCAAUUCCUAUUCCAACAAAGGUAUGGACACAAAUAGGUGUUGAUUUAAGUGCUUUGCCUGAAAGUGAGGAUGGCUAUUAAUACAUUGCUGUAGCAGUUGAUUAUUUCAGCAAAUAUAUUGUUGCCAUGCCUUCAAAAGAUAAAACGGCAAAAUCGGUAUCACGCUUCCUUUACUCGUUAUUAUGCACACAUGGUAGGGCAAAAAAUCAAAUUAAUGAUCAACGACGUGAGUUUGUGAAUGAAAUAAGCAAUAAUUUUCACAAACUCAUAGGGACCAUGCAGAGGGUGACAAGUGCUUAUCACCCUCAAGCAAAUGGCAUGUUUGAAAGAGUGAAUAGGACAAUCCAAAAUGCACUACUAAAGUGUAUUAAGGAUGAUCAAUUAAUUUGGACAGAUCCCUGCCUGGCAUAAUAUUUGCCUUUAUUUAUAUUGCAAACGCAUUUCUUA